CCGUGAAACUGCGAAUGGCUCAUUAAAUCAGUUAUCGUUUAUUUGAUAGUACCUUACUACUUGGAUAACCGUGGUAAUUCUAGAGCUAAUACAUGCUAAAAACCCCAACUUCGGGAGGGGUGUAUUUAUUAGAUAAAAAACCAAUGCCCUUCGGGGCUCCUUGGUGAUUCAUAAUAACUUCUCAGAUCGCAUGGCCUUGCGCCGGCGACGGUUCAUUCAAAUUUCUGCCCUAUCAACUUUCGAUGGUAAGGUAUUGGCUUACCAUGGUUUCAACGGGUAACGGGGAAUUAGGGUUCGAUUCCGGAGAGGGAGCCUGAGAAACGGCUACCACAUCCAAGGAAGGCAGCAGGCGCGCAAAUUACCCAAUCCCGACACGGGGAGGUAGUGACAAUAAAUACUGAUACAGGGCUCUUUAGGGUCUUGUAAUUGGAAUGAGUACAAUUUAAACCUCUUAACGAGGAACAAUUGGAGGGCAAGUCUGGUGCCAGCAGCCGCGGUAAUUCCAGCUCCAAUAGCGUAUAUUAAAGUUGUUGCAGUUAAAAAGCUCGUAGUUGAACCUUUGGCCUGGCUGGCGGGUCCGCCUCACCGCGUGCACUCGUCCGGCCGGGCCUUUUCUUCUGGAGAACCGCAUGCCCUUCACUGGGUGUGUUGGGGACCAGGACUUUUACUUUGAAAAAAUUAGAGUGUUCAAAGCAGGCCUUUGCUCGAAUACGUUAGCAUGGAAUAAUAGAAUAGGACGUGCGGUCCUAUUUUGUUGGUUUCUAGGACCGCCGUAAUGAUUAAUAGGGACAGUCGGGGGCAUCAGUAUUCAAUUGUCAGAGGUGAAAUUCUUGGAUUUAUUGAAGACUAACUACUGCGAAAGCAUUUGCCAAGGAUGUUUUCAUUAAUCAGUGAACGAAAGUUAGGGGAUCGAAGACGAUCAGAUACCGUCGUAGUCUUAACCAUAAACUAUGCCGACUAGGGAUCGGGCGGUGUUACUAUUUUGACCCGCUCGGCACCUUACGAGAAAUCAAAGUG
RNAcentral lists this ribosomal RNA (1017 nucleotides) under Periconia byssoides. RNAcentral's name for it is "SSU rRNA". It matches the Rfam family "Eukaryotic small subunit ribosomal RNA", at positions 79 to 1105 of the family's 1831-position model. Lineage: Eukaryota; Fungi; Ascomycota; Dothideomycetes; Pleosporales; Periconiaceae. The record is from RNAcentral.